CCUACGGGAGGCAGCAGUGAGGAAUAUUGGUCAAUGGGCGCAAGCCUGAACCAGCCAUGCAGCGUGAAGGAAGACUGCUCUAUGAGUUGUAAACUUCUUUUAUAAAGGAAUAAAGUCAGGCACGUGUGCCUGUCUGUAUGUAUUUUAUGAAUAAGGAUCGGCUAACUCCGUGCCAGCAGCCGCGGUAAUACGGAGGAUCCGAGCGUUAUCCGGAUUUAUUGGGUUUAAAGGGAGCGUAGAUGGGUUGUUAAGUCAGUUGUGAAAGUUUGCGGCUCAACCGUAAAAUUGCAAUUGAUACUGGCAGUCUUGAGUACAGUUGAGGUAGGCGGAAUUCGUGGUGUAGCGGUGAAAUGCUUAGAUAUCACGAAGAACACCGAUUGCGAAGGCAGCUUACUAAACUGCCACUGACAUUGAUGCUCGAAAGUGUGGGGAUCAAACAGGAUUAGAUACCCUGGUAGUC
Molecule: ribosomal RNA, 460 nt
Filed under: uncultured bacterium
Lineage: Bacteria
Description: partial 16S ribosomal RNA
Rfam family: Bacterial small subunit ribosomal RNA
Source: RNAcentral